This 492-nucleotide ribosomal RNA is filed under the name uncultured bacterium. Its description in RNAcentral is "partial 16S ribosomal RNA". It matches the Rfam family "Bacterial small subunit ribosomal RNA", at positions 28 to 507 of the family's 1533-position model. The record is from RNAcentral.
GAUGAACGCUAGCUACAGGCUUAACACAUGCAAGUCGAGGGGAAACGACAUCGAAAGCUUGCUUUUGAUGGGCGUCGACCGGCGCACGGGUGAGUAACGCGUAUCCAACCUGCCCAUCACUUGGGAAUAACCUUGCGAAAGUAAGACUAAUACCCAAUGAUAUCCCACGAAGGCAUCGGAAUGGGAUUAAAGAUUUAUCGGUGAUGGAUGGGGAUGCGUCUGAUUAGCUUGUUGGCGGGGUAACGGCCCACCAAGGCAGCGAUCAGUAGGGGUUCUGAGAGGAAGGUCCCCCACAUUGGAACUGAGACACGGUCCAAACUCCUACGGGAGGCAGCAGUGAGGAAUAUUGGUCAAUGGGCGAGAGCCUGAACCAGCCAAGUAGCGUGCAGGAAGACGGCCCUAUGGGUUGUAAACUGCUUUUAGAAGGGAAUAAAGUGGGUCACGUGUGACUUUUUGCAUGUACCUUAUGAAUAAGGACCGGCUAAUUCCGUG